Molecule: ribosomal RNA, 450 nt
Filed under: uncultured Glomeromycotina
Lineage: Eukaryota; Fungi; Glomeromycota
Description: SSU rRNA
Rfam family: Eukaryotic small subunit ribosomal RNA
Source: RNAcentral
AGCAGCCGCGGUAAUUCCAGCUCCAAUAGCGUAUAUUAAAGUUGUUGCAGUUAAAAAGCUCGUAGUUGAAUUUCGGGAUCAAGGAAUCGGUCAUGCCUCGGUAUGUACUGGUUUUAUUGGUUCUCACCUUCUAAAGAACCAUAAUGUCAUUUAUUUGAUGUUAUGGGGAAUUAGGACUGUUACCUUGAAAAAUUAGAGUGUUUAAAGCAAGCUCACGCUUGAAUACAUUAGCAUGGAAUAAUGAAAUAGGACAUCCGAUUCUAUUUUGUUGGUUUCUAGGAUCGAUGUAAUGAUUAAUAGGGAUAGUUGGGGGCAUUAGUAUUCAAUUGUCAGAGGUGAAAUUCUUGGAUUUAUUGAAGACUAACUACUGCGAAAGCAUUUGCCAAGGAUGUUUUCAUUAAUCAAGAACGAAAGUUAGGGGGAUCGAAGACGAUCAGAUACCGUCGUAGU